UUAAUGGAGAGUUUGAUCCUGGCUCAGGACGAACGCUGGCGGCGUGCCUAAUACAUGCAAGUCGAGCGGGGUUAAUUAGAAGCUUGCUUCUAAUUAACCUAGCGGCGGACGGGUGAGUAACACGUAGGCAACCUGCCCACAAGACAGGGAUA
Molecule: ribosomal RNA, 152 nt
Filed under: Paenibacillus polymyxa
Lineage: Bacteria; Bacillati; Bacillota; Bacilli; Caryophanales; Paenibacillaceae
Description: partial 16S ribosomal RNA
Rfam family: Bacterial small subunit ribosomal RNA
Source: RNAcentral